Morone saxatilis (striped sea-bass) is the source of this 325-nucleotide long non-coding RNA. RefSeq lists it as uncharacterized. The transcript is spliced from 2 exons. Lineage: Eukaryota; Metazoa; Chordata; Actinopteri; Moronidae. The record is from RefSeq and is a predicted model, not a curated record.
GUGUACUUCCUGUCCCUCAGGUCCAUCUCUCCAGUCUCUCCGUGUUCUCCAACUUUCCCGUCUCGAAGAAGAAGAUUGUUUAUCGAGCGAGCUGCGUCGACUUCUCUCCGCACAGCGGCUUCUUCUCAUUGGCUAACAACAAAGGACACGCCCCUCUCUUCAGGUUGCUGCAUUAUAAAGACUUCUAAAGGAACUCUGAAGAACCAGGACCAGGACCAGGACCCGUCUGUUGUAUUUUAUUGUGGAGCAGCAGAGAGGAUGAUGGGAAACCAGAUUAUUUACCGUAUUUUCUGUGCAGUGAUUGUAUAAAAGAUCUAAAACAGUU